This 433-nucleotide ribosomal RNA is filed under the name uncultured bacterium. RNAcentral's name for it is "partial 16S ribosomal RNA". It matches the Rfam family "Bacterial small subunit ribosomal RNA", at positions 29 to 507 of the family's 1533-position model. The record is from RNAcentral.
AACGAACGCUGGCGGCAUGCCUAACACAUGCAAGUCGAACGAGACCUUCGGGUCUAGUGGCGCACGGGUGCGUAACGCGUGGGAACCUGCCCUUAGGUUCGGAAUAACUCCCCGAAAGGGGUGCUAAUACCGGAUAAUGUCUUCGGACCAAAGAUUUUUCGCCUUUGGAUGGGCCCGCGUUGGAUUAGCUAGUUGGUAGGGUAAAAGCCUACCAAGGCGACGAUCCAUAGCUGGUCGGAGAGGAGGAUCAGCCACACUGGGACUGAGACACGGCCCAGACUCGUACGGGAGGCAGCAGUGGGGAAUAUUGGACGAGGGGCGAAAGCCUGAUACAGCAAUGCCGGGUGAGUGAUGAAGGCCUUAGGGUUGUAAAGCUCUUUUAGCCGGGAUGAUAAUGACAGUACCGGGAGAAUAAGCGCCGGCUAACUCCGUG